Molecule: ribosomal RNA, 429 nt
Filed under: Chloroflexota bacterium
Lineage: Bacteria; Bacillati; Chloroflexota
Description: Chloroflexi bacterium partial 16S ribosomal RNA
Rfam family: Bacterial small subunit ribosomal RNA
Source: RNAcentral
UGGGGAAUAUUGCACAAUGGGCGCAAGCCUGAUGCAGCCAUGCCGCGUGUAUGAAGAAGGCCUUCGGGUUGUAAAGUACUUUCAGCGGGGAGGAAGGGAGUAAAGUUAAUACCUUUGCUCAUUGACGUUACCCGCAGAAGAAGCACCGGCUAACUCCGUGCCAGCAGCCGCGGUAAUACGGAGGGUGCAAGCGUUAAUCGGAAUUACUGGGCGUAAAGCGCACGCAGGCGGUUUGUUAAGUCAGAUGUGAAAUCCCCGGGCUCAACCUGGGAACUGCAUCUGAUACUGGCAAGCUUGAGUCUCGUAGAGGGGGGUAGAAUUCCAGGUGUAGCGGUGAAAUGCGUAGAGAUCUGGAGGAAUACCGGUGGCGAAGGCGGCCCCCUGGACGAAGUCUGACGCUCAGGUGCGAAAGCGUGGGGAGCAAACAGG